Molecule: long non-coding RNA, 7883 nt
Organism: Ictalurus punctatus (channel catfish)
Lineage: Eukaryota; Metazoa; Chordata; Actinopteri; Siluriformes; Ictaluridae
Source: Ensembl
UUCGCUAUUCACAUGAUAUUCUUUCACCCGAUUUAUUUACUUUCGUUUGUGAUUCUUGUGGUAACUCAGUGUUUAAGACUUUGGACACCUGUUUGGAAGGGUAUUAUUUUCACAUAUUUUCACGUGAUUCUUUCAUACCAUUAAUUUGUCAAAUGAUUCUUUCACAUGAUUCUUUUUUGUAUGUGACUCAUAUACACUGAUUCAUUUCUUUUCGUGUGUGAUUCUUUCAGGGGAUGAGUUUACUACUAAGAUGUGAUUCUUCCACAGUGGAUUUCUUUUAACAUGUGAUUCAUUCACAUGAUUCCUUUUUUCCAUAUGUGAUUCAUAUACACUGAUUUAUCUCUUUAAUGUGAUUUUUUCACAGGAUUCAUUCAUUCAUUAUAACAAUGUGAUUCCUUCACAGGAUUCAUAUAUCUUUAUAAGUGAUUCUUUACAUCAUCAAUUCAUUUUCACUUGAUUAUUUAACAUGAUUUGUUCAUUUUUACGUGUGAUUCUUUCACAUGAUUCAUUAUUUUCGCAAGCGACUGUUUCUCACACAAUUAAUUUACUUUCACAUGUGAUUCUUUCCCAUUAUUCCUCCAUUAUCAGAUGUGAUUCUUUUAUCAGAUUCAUUUACUUUCAUACCUGGUUCUUUCACACAAUUUAUUUGCUUUCACUUGUGAUUCUUGUGGUAGCUCAUUGUUUAAGACUUUGGACUCCUGCUUGGAAGGGUAUGAGUUCAAAUCCCACCCCUGCUGAGUUAUAUAAUGUAUGACAUAUUCCCAAGUUCCCCUGGAUAAGUGUGUCUACCUCAUGCUGUAAAUGCACACUGAUUCAUUUAUUUUCACGUGAUACUUUCAUACAAUUCAUUUUUUCAUAUGUGAUUCAAAUAUUCUGAUUCAUCUCUUUCCAUUUGUGAUUCUUUCACACGAUUCCUUUUUGAUGUGAUUCACCUACACUGAUUCAUUUCUUUCCACAUGUAUUUCUUCCAUACGAUUCACUUCUUAUUAAGAUGUGACUCUGUCAAACGAUUCACUUCUUUACACAUGAUUCUCAUAUGUGAUUCUGGUCAGAUGGAUUUCUUUUUAACCUGAUUACUUCACAGGAUUCAUUCUUCAUACAUGAUUCUAUACUCUGUUUUCUUCUCACGUUAUUCUUUCAUAUGAUUCAUAUCCCUUCCCAAAUGAUUCCUUACGUGAUUCAUUCAUUUUCACUUGGUAUUAUGUAACAUGAUUCGUUUUUCCCCAUGUGACUCUUCAAAACAAAUUUCUUUCUUUUCAGACAUGAUUCUUUAACAUGUUACUAACAAACCUUCACGAGUCAUUUCACAUUACAAUAAUUAGGAACUGAUCACUGGGUAAAUGUGAAAGUACGACAGAGUAAACAUCCUUUUCCUGUGCAAGAGGCGUGUGUUUACACCACCAGUGUCUAAUACCACUGAGAAACGUUCGCUUCAUUUGCAGAUUGGGUGAAAGAUAUUGAGAAAGUGUUUGCGUGCACACAUUUUAAUCUUCCCUCAAUAACAUACUUUAACCAGCACACAAUAAACAAAUAAUUAUUGAUGAAACGAAUGAAUAAAUUCUUCAAGUAUGAGUUCUCCAGAUCAUAUUUUUGUCUUUAAAUACCCGAUUGAAAAGAAUAUCAGGAGACAAAUUUCUUCUAAACUCUAAAUGCACUGCUUUCAUCAUUUUAUUUCGUUUUCAUUUAUAAAUCAAUCGUUUACACAUUGCACGCACUUACGCUUUAAGCUUAUAAUGCGUUCCAGGCAAGACUUAGUCUCAUUAAUUCAUUCAGCGACUUGCAUCCGAGACCGGAUACUACACGUAAAUAAGUAAACUACCCUGUAGUAAAUAGUUUAUAGUGAUUAUUAUUUCCGAGAACCGCACGAGUCGCUGAACGAGCGGCCUUAAUGGUCCAGAGUUAAAAUCAUCUGCAACGUGAAACCGGUUUUAGUAUAAUCCACUGUUUAUUUUGUAUUAUAUUUAUACAUUUACUACAUUCUCAAGGCAGCCGAGAUCACUGAAUUGUCACGUUUUGUAACCUCUACUUAAUAUAGAAGUUAAUCAGUCCGUACAGGAUUUCGCCGAGUUUUAUUUCGAUUGUUGCGGCCACAAGUGCGAUUUUGCUUCGGCUUUUAAAAAAAAAAAUCCGAUGCAAUUUGUGGAGACUGUGCUUUUUUUGUGUGGAAAACUACUCGAAUUGGCGAAAUCGCAGUCGCACUACAUAGUUCUGCAUGCAGUGAUGUUCGUUGGUAAACGAGACGUUUUAGCUGUACUCGGGUUCGACGCACGCGUAUCGACGAGUGCUUCGGGUGAACGCGCGUCGUGAUGACGUCACGUGACGCGUCUCGGCCCGAACCUGCGGAAAAUCUGCAGUAAUUUUGAAAAAGCUCCUCCGAAUAUCACGGUGUUUGCUUGAUUUGGCGUUCAUUUCUGCAACAGAGUUCAAGAGUAUAAAAAAAAAACAACACACUUCAUACUCACUCAUACCUUUCCAAAUGUACAAGUUAAAAUUAAGCACCUAAAAACAAACAAAACAUUUUUAAAAAUCUUUUUGCUUCAUAAUUUUAAUUCCAUACAAACACAAUAAGACUGGUGCCACAACUCUACAGAACCUCCUGAUCUCCUAAACCCCCGUCUAGUUUAAUCUUGUACAAUAUAUAUAUAUAUUUUUUUAAAGUUUAAGAUUAGCUCUAAACCGUAUUAAAAGUUGUGCCAUGACCAGUCUGGACUAGUGGCUGUGCUCCAGCAGAAAAGACUCUAGAGUUCUGGUGUCUGCCACAUGGUGGCGCUCUUACUCCUAAAUCUAACAGGAUCAGGGUCCAUCUGAGAGGAUCAACAUCAUGUAGGAGAAAAGAGCACAGAGAAGACAGAGGUGUGGUGUAAAAAUCAGGUUUUAUUCUGAACAGGGUUUGAAAAUGCAUACACACAUUUAAGAAUAACAAAAUCAGCGCUGCAAAGUAGUCGAGCUCUCGGAUUGUAAAUAAAACGCCGUACACGCGAUUUCACACGCCGAUUCGGGAUCCGGUAAAUAACGAAUCGAACGCUAACCGAGUUCUUUCCAGCAGGCUGUUACAUUUUCAACACUUCUAAGCAUUCAAUUUAGAUCGAGUAACACUAUACUGACCGAAUUAAUCUGAGACGAGUAAACGAGUCAGACAAGUCAUUACACGCCCAUGUAAAGCACCUAAACUCCUCCAACAAAACAGGAUCAGGAACCUUUUUUUUUUAAUGUUUUUUUUUUUAAAGCUUACUUUACAUGAACUUUUAUGUAAAUGUGGUGUUAAAGAUCUAAAACAGACAGGUGAAGUGUUUUACUAACAUUUGAGCUUAAGAUCACAUUGGAUCAAGAAUCAACAUUUACCAUACAAAAAAAAAAAAAAAGGUUUAUAUUUGUGAUGAUUAUGAUUUUGGGAUUGAGGUGUGGUGUCUGUCGAAGUUUUUUUUUUUUUUUUUUUAAAAGCAGGGUAUAAUACAAACCGGACCAUUACAGUAUCGUCACUGCUGGCAUUCUCACAAACGCCGAUUUCUUUCUAUCCACUACCGUCCACCAAUUCUUUUUUUUUUUUAUACCGCCAAACCAGUUUUAAGGACUUUUUUUUUUAUAUCGCGUAGUUUUCCUUGAUUUCGCGUUCAUUUCUCCGAUAUAAAUUCCGCCAUAAAAUCUCUUACGUGGUCAGUAUAAGUCGCGUCGUCGUUAUAUAUUCAGCCCAACCAGAAUUUCGCAAUUGCAGAAGACAAAACCAAGCAAACGGCGCGAUAGUUUGCCGCAGAUUUGGCCCGAGACACAUCGUGUGACGUCAUCACGACAUGCGUUCUGCAGAAGCCCUCAUCGAACAGGAGUACAGCUGAAAGGUCUUAUUUACCAACAAAACAUCACUGCAAAAGUCCAUAGAUUUAGACUUAAUUAUCACGGUCAAAAUUGCAAACCAUAACGCCUCUAAAUGUACCACACACACACACACUUUACACUCAAGAAACAUCAGCACUGCAUACUGGCCUUCUACAAAACGAUAAAGCACUCGUUCCCACCCUUAAUCAUGGAGAAUCGUCUGUUUUUCCUGCACUACACACCUCAUUCAACCGAGAAACGGCUGUUAAUUAGGCAAUUAUCUGGUUCAGGUGUGUUAGAGUAGAGAAAUCACUGAAACUUGCCGUUCACUGGGUUCUCCAGACAACACGGGCCGCUGAUGCACAUCUCUAUAACCAUUUGAAGUGUCCUGUAUUUCAAAACGAGGAGAACUCACCUGUCUGGAAACCAGAAAAGAAAUAGAAGAGGAAAGAAGAAGCAGAACUGUGGCGCAUGCUGGGGAGAAUCUAAUAAUAAACGUGUUCCGCUGUAGGUUGUGUCAUGUGACGAUGGUUUAUCCAAUUGGGAGGCUUGAUCAAGCGCUGCAUUUAGCGUCUAUAAAUGCUGGCACUUCACACAGUUAUCUUAUAGUUUCAUAAUACGAGGCAUAACAUAAACCAUGGGCACCCCUCAAAUGUUCCUGCCUGGGGUCCUCACAGUCACAAGACUCUCCUCCGUCAAGGUCCAGGGUGACGAUCUUGGUCAUGGAGAACCCGCUGUCUUGCACAUUUUAGAGUUUUCCCCUCCUCCCAUCACACCUGACUCAACUAAUCAUCUAAUGAACAUCCAUUCCUAAGCUGAAUCCGGUGUGUUGGGAGCAGAACAUCAUGUGCAGGACAGGGGGUUAGGUUUCUAGGGCCAGGGUCAGGAACAUGUGCUGUAGAUCACCGAUAUUCAGAGUCCUGACGUUUCUUGAAUAUAAAAUUGUGUCCAAUCACUGACCAUCAUUGUUCUCAUUUACAUUUAUUUAUUUAGCAGACGCUUUUAUCCAAAGCGACUUACAAAUUAGGAAAUAAAUGCAAAGCGGGAUUGUUCCCAACAUCUAAUCACCCAAUCUCCACUGUUUCCAACAUCCAAUCUCCACUGUUCCCAACAGGCCAAUCACCCGAUCUCCACUGUUCCCAACAGGCCAGGCACUGAUCUCCACUGUUCCCAACAGGCCAAUCACCCGAUCUCCACUGUUCCCAACAGGCCAAUCACCCGAUCUCCACUGUUCCCAACAGGCCAAUCACCCGAUCUCCACUGUUCCCAACAGGCCAAUCACUGAUCUCCAUUGUUCCCAACAAGCCAAUCACUGAUCUCCAUUGUUCCCAACAAGCCAAUCACUGAUCUCCAUUGUUCCCAACAAGCCAAUCACUGAUCUCCAUUGUUCCCAACAGCCAAUCACUGAUCACCACUCUUCAAUAACCAAUCCCAAUCACUGUUGUUCCCAGCCGAUCAAUCACUGAUCACCAUUGUUUGCCUCACCCUUGCACUUAUAAGCGCUCUUCUUGGAGACGCGAGUAAACAUUUCCAUCAGGACUACUUCAUUGUGUCCACACUCUUGACACAAAGUACAAUAAACACGUAAAAGUUUAGCUUGUGCAUGGCGCCAUGACCAAACAUGACUUCUUUCGAUAAGACAUCAAUUAUAUUUAGGAGAAACUAACUCCCAAUCUAUUAUUUUAUAUUCUAGUAAAACUCCAUUCUAUCCCGAAAAACCUUCCUUCCUUCCUGUACCCGCAUCGGAAACUCCACACACCAAUGAUCAGGAUUUAAUAAAAGUAAUAUGCAAAUUAACGUCUCCAUGACGUCACCCAGCGACUUCUAGCCACUUUCUGAGCAAGCUUUAGAUUCUUUCCCCUGAAAAGAGUGUUGGCAACAGAGAGAAGUCCUCUCUAACCUGACUUACUGGUGAAGCAGAUAAUGUGAUCCUGCCGCCGUGGCACGACAGCGAUUCCCUCGAUUUGUUUUUUCAGCCUAGUCAAUCUGGAUCAUUUAAUCAGUGGCCUGAAAUGACUUCUUAGACGCUGAAAAAUAUAUAAUAAGGAAGGAGACACGUUUAGCUGGGGCAAAUGAUUCAGCCUGACUUCUCUCUCUGUCUCGUCCUUACAAAACAACAACCCUGAACAGAACAGACUCCAUUUUUAUUACACAGACGCCUCCGCCAUACUGAAACACCAAUAACACCCCCGACGACAGAUUAGAGCCGUUUUUAUAAUCAUUAUUAUUUUAAAUAAUAUAGCUAAGAACAUGCUCUUUAACCAAAUACACAUGUACGUGUAUAUAGAUUAAAAAAAAACCUCAGCGACGCUGAAAACACACCCAAGUUACAUAUAACAAAGCUUUUACUGUUAGCUGGCUAAGAAAACUAGCUGGCUAGCUAACUAACCUGCUGCCUAAUGUUCGAUAAUUAGCUAGUACUUAAAAACAAACCGACAUACUAGCUCAUAAUCGUUUCAACAUCGAACAAAUUGUCGUUUUAAUGUCCGACCGAAGACAAUUGCUAGACCAACAUUAUGCUAGCUAGCUAGCUUACUUAGCAUUGCGCGCGUGCAAGAGCAAGUUACCGACACCCCCCCCCCCGUACUUGACAAAUAAAUAAAUAAAUAACUAAUAAGCUAUACUACACACCCUUUUCUACAGUAAUAACAUAACAUUAACGUGUAUUUCAGUGCUACUUUAUCAAAAACAAUCACCAUGGCAACUAAUCUCACCUAGAUACACAAAGUACUUGGCAACUUAGCCAGCAUUUGUUAUUAUUUUCUUUGUUUUCUUAAAUACUUCAGUUUCGACAAUAAGAGUUACCUCGACUGGCUAAUCGAGCGGAAUAUUAAUAUUAUUUUAAGGACGAAAAAAAAACAAGACUAAAAUUCCACCUGACGACCUAAAAGGUGACUUACAAAAUCGUCUAUUCUAGGUUUAGGAAAUCAAAUUAAAUGUAUAAACGAUGUGGGUCUUUAAAACAUUAUUUAUCGUCGAUAUGAAGACUCGGGAAUUAAUUUGUAUUAUCCCCUCACUUCACUGUUGUUGUGGAGGAGAGAGAACUAUGCUAAGCUAAGAAGCUAAAACCACGGCCGCCAUGUUGUGCUUUAACGUCCUCCUUCGAAAGACGGCGAGUUGUAGCACGAGAAAAAAAAUUCUCUAUUUUUAUUUAUUUAUUUAUUUUUUAAAAAGCGCUAAAUCAAGGUGGUGAUCAAAGUCAACGACGUGUAACGAAUAUAGUGUAGAAUAUAAAAUAGAAUAUAGUGUAGAAUAUAGAAUAGAAUAUAGUGUAGAAUAUAGAAUAUAGUAUAGUGUAACGAAUACUACAGUAUAUCAGUGACGUAGUGUAAUUUAAAUAACACGGAGAUAAAUGCUAACCUUCAUACUAUAUUAUAACGUUAGUAUUACACCCAGUGUUACCUAACGCACUUUUUUGUUUCAGACGACAAAAUACUAAUAAUAGUAAUAAUAACAACAAACACAAGACGUCUACAUUAAAGUAAAAUUCGCUAUUGUCUUAACAUAUCAUCGGAAUCAUUUCUCAAAUAGUGUUUUUUUUUAAGCUCGUCUUUCUGUUUCUAUAGAUUAGUGUUCUCUAACGUUAUCCGCUGGAGCCUUACGACGGCCUACAACGUAAAAUCUCAAAAAAAAUAUGGAUCAAAACUUAAAAUACGUACCACCCUUUUAAGCAAUCGUCUCACAAACACUAAACGAUACCUUCUGACAUUUUGUAUAUAAAAAUGAUUAAAAGAUGUAGUUGGUACAAAGCUCCAGGCUUUCCGGGGGCUUUCCAACUCCGCAUACCGAAAUUCAGUGUCAGUUGUCCGGCCAUUGCUUUAACUCGACUCCGAGGCUUCUUGCAAUUUCCCAUAAAACAGUAGCAAAUGUUAAGAAAUGCUACCAAGAAUAGCGGUCAUACUUAAAAUCAUGCUAAAGAAUAUUGUCAAAACGACUUUGAGCCGUUUAUCAUUAAAACUAAAGAAAAUGUAUAUGUUUGGAUCUUCAAUGGUUGAGGUAGGCCUUUCGCGCGAGCUUCGUUUCCAACACUCGUAGCUGGUCCAGGGCGAGACGGACGGAACAGUAGCGUUUUU